GGUGAACACGGAGCUUGCUCUGUGGGAUCAGUGGCGAACGGGUGAGUAACACGUGAGCAACCUGCCCCUGACUCUGGGAUAAGCGCUGGAAACGGCGUCUAAUACUGGAUAUGUGACGUGACCGCAUGGUCUGCGUCUGGAAAGAAUUUCGGUUGGGGAUGGGCUCGCGGCCUAUCAGCUUGUUGGUGAGGUAAUGGCUCACCAAGGCGUCGACGGGUAGCCGGCCUGAGAGGGUGACCGGCCACACUGGGACUGAGACACGGCCCAGACUCCUACGGGAGGCAGCAGUGGGGAAUAUUGCACAAUGGGCGCAAGCCUGAUGCAGCAACGCCGCGUGAGGGACGACGGCCUUCGGGUUGUAAACCUCUUUUAGCAGGGAAGAAGCGAAAGUGACGGUACCUGCAGAAAAAGCGCCGGCUAACUACGUGCCAGCAGCCGCGGUAAUACGUAGGGCGCAAGCGUUAUCCGGAAUUAUUGGGCGUAAAGAGCUCGUAGGCGGUUUGUCGCGUCUGCUGUGAAAUCCGGAGGCUCAACCUCCGGCCUGCAGUGGGUACGGGCAGACUAGAGUGCGGUAGGGGAGAUUGGAAUUCCUGGUGUAGCGGUGGAAUGCGCAGAUAUCAGGAGGAACACCGAUGGCGAAGGCAGAUCUCUGGGCCGUAACUGACGCUGAGGAGCGAAAGGGUGGGGAGCAAACAGGCUUAGAUACCCUGGUAGUCCACCCCGUAAACGUUGGGAACUAGUUGUGGGGUCCAUUCCACGGAUUCCGUGACGCAGCUAACGCAUUAAGUUCCCCGCCUGGGGAGUACGGCCGCAAGGCUAAAACUCAAAGGAAUUGACGGGGGACCCGCACAAGCGGCGGAGCAUGCGGAUUAAUUCGAUGCAACGCG
Molecule: ribosomal RNA, 887 nt
Filed under: Microbacterium sp. H163
Lineage: Bacteria; Bacillati; Actinomycetota; Actinomycetes; Micrococcales; Microbacteriaceae
Description: bacterial SSU rRNA
Rfam family: Bacterial small subunit ribosomal RNA
Source: RNAcentral